UCAGGAGACAGGUGAUUCAGGAGACAGGUGAGUCAGGAGAGAGGUGAGUCAGGAGAGAGGUGAUUCAGGAGACGGGUGAUUCAGGAGACGGGUGAUUCAGGAGACGGGUGAUUCAGGAGACAGAGCAGAAGUAAAAACACAACCAACACACGAGGAAAGGCGAUUUCUGAGUAAAACAGGAAAUAACUGAAAAGGGGUACAAAGCAAAAAGGAAUAUAAAACAAUAAAAAAACAUAAACCUGAUAAGCUGACUGUUUUUAGGACAAGGAAAAGCUCCAAAUGUUAUCUGCUGAAUGGCUGGAAUGGUGAAAUGUUGGGAUUUUUGCCUGGUAAAUGAUUGAAACCUUUAAUUUAUACAGC
Amphiprion ocellaris (clown anemonefish) is the source of this 360-nucleotide long non-coding RNA. The record is from Ensembl. Lineage: Eukaryota; Metazoa; Chordata; Actinopteri; Pomacentridae.